RNAcentral lists this long non-coding RNA (327 nucleotides) under Eutrema salsugineum. RNAcentral describes it as "long non-coding RNA (ESAL_LNC002035)". Lineage: Eukaryota; Viridiplantae; Streptophyta; Magnoliopsida; Brassicales; Brassicaceae. The record is from RNAcentral.
UCUUCGAAUUCGCUUAAACAAACCGAACAAUCCGUUCCUUCCACGAUACCGUCUCUUUUGCUAUACUUGCACACUUUGAUCGAACUUAUAACCGUUGGAUUCAAACCAAUGGUUUUGAUAUGCCAAAUCGGAUGAUCGACAAUAACCGGUGAUGGUCCAUCAAAAUCCCAGUUCCUAGCUUGCUCCAUGCUCCAUCUUCUUGAUAUAGCUAUUGAUCUUCUCCUGUUGUACCACUUGAAACAGAGUAGGAGUAAAGUAAGGAGAAACAGAGUUGUGAUGAUAGACAAAGCCGAGAUGAGUAAGAACUUCUUUAGGUUAUCGUCCAGG